This 303-nucleotide ribosomal RNA is filed under the name uncultured bacterium. RNAcentral describes it as "partial 16S ribosomal RNA". It matches the Rfam family "Bacterial small subunit ribosomal RNA", at positions 507 to 807 of the family's 1533-position model. The record is from RNAcentral.
AGCAGUAGCCGCGGGAAUACGAAGGGGGCUAGCGUUGCUCGGAAUGACUGGGCGUAAAGGGCGCGUAGGCGGUUUAUACAGUCAGAUGUGAAAUUCCUGGGCUCAACCUGGGGACUGCAUUUGAUACGUAUGGACUUGAGUGGAGAAGAGGGUCGUGGAAUUUCCAGUGUAGAGGUGAAAUUCGUAGAUAUUGGAAAGAACACCGGUGGCGAAGGCGGCGACCUGGUCUUUAACUGACGCUGAGGCGCGAAAGCGUGGGGAGCAAACAGGAUUAGAUACCCCCGUAGUCCCUGUCUCUUAUAC